UUCCCACUCUGUUGCGAGUUGAUUCGACCCGAGCGAGAGACCCGACACCGACACCGCACGUUUGCUAUUUUACCCUUUCUUUUUUUCUAUUCUCACACGACAUUUUAUCUUUGCGAUCACCUUGUUCGCGACGGUACAAAAUGUAUCCGAUGUAUCUGCGAGAACCGUAGCUACGUACUAUUUCCCGUCAAACACCGAUAGAACAGCCAUUUUUCGAUUUUGUACCACUACAGUCGUAAUACUUGUAAACGCCGCAAGAUAGCGACCUGAAUGCUCGAUCGAUCUCUGUCUCUAUCGUCCUCUCUUUUCUCACUAUCCUUUCAAAUAUUUCAGGGUUUAAUCAGUGAGUGACCAUGUGAACUGUGAACGUUCUACUACUUACGUGACCGAUAUACCAGAGGACAUGCAUAUGCAUACUCGUAUUUGUUUCUUUCUUUCUUUCUAAUUUUACGCAUUGUUGUAUAAUUGUGCAUCGUACUGUAGAUUAUAUGUACAUUAUAGAUACAUGUAUUCGGUGAAUUUUACUCUACGUCGUUCGCAUUGUUCCAACAGAAAACAUUUGAACUAUUUUCUUUCGCGAUAAGUCUCGCGACGCGUACAAAAAUAUACGAUAGUUUGGAAUUAUUCAUUCUCGAAACGAAGAAAUACAGCUCAGAGAUUAAUAACUUCUUACAGAAUCGAAACGCGCUCGUAAGGCAGUAUAGUAAAUACACAUAUACGUGUGUAAAUACAUAAAUUUUCUUUGCAAAUUGAGGUUAUGCGCCGACCUACUGCCCUUCGAAUUAAUCAAAUCUGAAAAUGAUCGCUCUCGCGGUAUUACUUCUGACAGCAGAUUAAUAUCGAGUCUAUGAAAGUAAUAGAAAUCGAGAAUUUAAAAAUCUCUCUCGAACUUGUUCGGUCUCGCGUACGCGUACGCGCGCGUACAUAUAUAAUACGUAUAUGCACGCGUCGAUACGAUCGAAAGAGAAAGAUCGUUCGUACAAAUUUUCCUACAUCGAUUCCUGUUACAAGCUCGUGCUUUGUAAUAUUUCAAAUUUUGUCGAUUAGUAAAUAAUAAUUAACAAUAGCAGUAGCGGUAAAUAAUAACGUUUAUUAGUAAUGAUAGCAACGAUUAACAAUAAAGUGAUCGAUCGUUGAAUAAAUGUUGCGUCGCGUUACGCCUGGUGCGAUGCGAUUUUGAAUAUCCCGCGUAACGCGCUGCGGUGCUAGACACGAUUCGAAGUCCGUACCGUGAAGUGCCCGGCCCAAGUUUAAUGAUUAUUCUCGCGCUCGACGCUCGUGGUUUACCGUUGUCGUUAAUAUUUCGCAGGAAACUUUCUCCACGACAUAUACUACUUACGCUAUUCCACCUUCGUGCGGUAGAAAUAAAAGUAAAUUCGACCAAGACGGUAUAUGUAUCUGUAUCCCCUACCCGCGAAAAACGAUGUAUUUAUGAGAAAUUUUUAUCGUAGUCAUAUUUGUACCACCUUAUAAUCUACAGUACGGUAUUACCGAAUGAUGUUGCUUUUAAUAGGUGGUGCUUAAAUAAUUCUGUUAUACCGAACAUGCGAAAAUGUCACGUUACCGAAUCACGUCGAAAUCUACAUCGCGCGUUAAUUUGUACGAUAAAACGCGUGAACCGAUAUUGCGGAGUGCGAACGGAGCGAAUGAUUUUAUAAUAUAUGGCGAGCGUCUCGAAGCAUGUAUUAAUCACAGAUCUUGAAUGUGUUGACGCAAUAAAAGUACUAUGUGUACAGCUUAGUUAGAACACAUUUAGAAUGCAGACUGGUACUAUCUAGUCACCGACGAUACUUCGAAGCGUGGGACACUUCUAAAAGGAUAGAACUACGAUUCUCUCAUAAAUUUUUGGCCAAUUAUACGUACAUUACGGAGCAGAAACUUUCGGGCAGAUUACACGGUACCAAAGACAAGUCUCGCUUGGAAAUGGCAAAGAAUACCGUUGCAUGCUACCUAUAAAAUAUGUAUAUGGGCAAUGCAUAACCUUCGUUCAGAAAUAUAAUUCGUAACGUACGCAUGCUGUUACUUUGUCACAAUACGAAUAUAGAGCGAAUACGAAAAGCUAAAUCGAAAACCUUAUUUACAAAUAGCACCUGAUCGACGCGUUUUCGUGCUGCCUCGCAAAUUUUGGUUCGUAUGGGAUUUUACCCCGUUGAAAGCAAAAUAAAUUCUUAUAUGUAUAUACA
Megalopta genalis is the source of this 2183-nucleotide non-coding RNA. NCBI's taxonomy places the organism in Eukaryota, Metazoa, Arthropoda, Insecta, Hymenoptera, Halictidae. The record is from RefSeq and is a predicted model, not a curated record.